GAUGAACGCUAGCGGCAGGCUUAAUACAUGCAAGUCGAGGGGCAGCACGGGUAGCAAUACCUGGUGGCGACCGGCAAACGGGUGCGGAACACGUACGCAACCUUCCCAUAACUGGUGAAUAGCCUUCCGAAAGGGAGAUUAAUACACCGUAACAUAACGAAGUGGCAUCACUUUGUUAUUAUAGGCUUCGGUCCGGUUUUGGAUGGGCGUGCGCCUGAUUAGGUAGUUGGCGGGGUAACGGCCCACCAAGCCUGCGAUCAGUAACUGGUGUGAGAGCACGACCAGUCACACGGGCACUGAGACACGGGCCCGACUCCUACGGGAGGCAGCAGUAAGGAAUAUUGGUCAAUGACGAAAGUCUGAACCAGCCAUGCCGCGUGAAGGAUUAAGGCCCUCUGGGUU
Molecule: ribosomal RNA, 402 nt
Filed under: uncultured bacterium
Lineage: Bacteria
Description: bacterial SSU rRNA
Rfam family: Bacterial small subunit ribosomal RNA
Source: RNAcentral